Molecule: long non-coding RNA, 685 nt
Organism: Marmota monax (woodchuck)
Lineage: Eukaryota; Metazoa; Chordata; Mammalia; Rodentia; Sciuridae
Exons: 4
Source: RefSeq, a predicted model, not a curated record
GGUCCGAACCCCAACCGGAAAAGGAAAUAUGCGCUUCCGGUAGCUGCGUUGACAGCCACGCCCAGUCAUCUUCCCACCUCUACCUGUGAAGUGUCUUCCUAGCCAACUCAGGAACUGUCUCGCGAGUCCUUGCCAUCCCGAAGGAUCCUGCUUCCAGCUCCAAUUUUGCACUGGGAUUAAUGCCACCGAGUCUCCAGGUCUACUGCAAGUCUACGAUAGCCCCGCAAACCGUCAGUCACCUUGAAGCGAAGUAGCCUACUGACUUCUGGUGCCAAGGUUUCCUGUCCCCAAUUUGCAGUGUUGCGAAUCCACGUUGUUUCUGCUGGCUUCCCAGCGACAGCAGCCUCAUGGGACCCUGCAAUAAGGAGCUUGAACCUGAUAUUUGAAAUAAGACUACAAGACACUGGAGGUCAUCAAUCCUUCCAUUCAAUAGCAGAUUACUCACCACCGAAAUCCCUGCCAGAGUUGUUUCACAGUGACCCUAGCACUGAAGAGAAAUCUUCAGCCGGUUUUAUUUGCCUACAACUGGCACAAAUACAGACAGGCUGUCCCUGAAUUGCUGAGGCUGGCCUUGAACAUGCAAUCCACCUGCCUCAGCUUCCCAAGCCACUGGGAUUCCAGAUGUGUGCCACUGUACUGAGCUGCUUUAUCAGUUGUGCUGUCUUCGUGAAGCCAUUGGUAGAGU